This 72-nucleotide transfer RNA is filed under the name Dipodomys ordii (Ord's kangaroo rat). It matches the Rfam family "tRNA". From Rfam's summary of the family: Transfer RNA (tRNA) molecules are approximately 80 nucleotides in length. Their secondary structure includes four short double-helical elements and three loops (D, anti-codon, and T loops). Lineage: Eukaryota; Metazoa; Chordata; Mammalia; Rodentia; Heteromyidae. The record is from Rfam by way of RNAcentral.
GGCAGAGUGCUCAAAUGGUAGAGUACCUGCUUACCAAGCACAAAGUCCUGAGUUCAAACCUCUGUCCUGCCA